UGGUCUGAAUCCUGUGUGUCCGACC
Molecule: non-coding RNA, 25 nt
Filed under: Rattus norvegicus (Norway rat)
Lineage: Eukaryota; Metazoa; Chordata; Mammalia; Rodentia; Muridae
Source: RNAcentral